AUUGAACGCUGGCGGCAUGCCUUACACAUGCAAGUCGAACGGCAGCACGGGGGCAACCCUGGUGGCGAGUGGCGAACGGGUGAGUAAUACAUCGGAACGUGCCCGGUAGUGGGGGAUAGCUCGGCGAAAGCCGGAUUAAUACCGCAUACGACCUGCGGGUGAAAGCGGGGGAUCGCAAGACCUCGCGCUAUCGGAGCGGCCGAUGUCAGAUUAGGUUGUUGGUGGGGUAAAGGCCACCAAGCCGACGAUCUGUAGCUGGUCUGAGAGGACGACCAGCCACACUGGGACUGAGACACGGCCCAGACUCCUACGGGAGGCAGCAGUGGGGAAUUUUGGACAAUGGGCGCAAGCCUGAUCCAGCCAUGCCGCGUGCGGGAAGAAGGCC
Molecule: ribosomal RNA, 385 nt
Filed under: uncultured bacterium
Lineage: Bacteria
Description: bacterial SSU rRNA
Rfam family: Bacterial small subunit ribosomal RNA
Source: RNAcentral